GUAACAAACGGCUCGUCUGAAAUGCCUGAGUGUACCCUGCUUUGCGGCGUAUUCGGUGUGAUAAAAUCUUCACCGGAGUCUUGACCCAUGCGGUCAGCGCUUUGUAAGGUUUGGCUCUAUGCUUUCCAACCGUCCCUAACAAGGACAAACUACUCUGACAAUUUGACCUCAAAUCGGGUGGGACUACCCGCUGAACUUAA
RNAcentral lists this unclassified non-coding RNA (200 nucleotides) under soil metagenome. RNAcentral describes it as "partial contains internal transcribed spacer 2 and large subunit ribosomal RNA". The record is from RNAcentral.